UAGAAAGCGAAAGAAAGAAACAUUUAUACAUACAAGUAUAUACACACACGCUCAUACAGAGACAUUUAUAUAUGUAGUAACAACAAGACUGGGUUCUAUUUUUUUUUCUGGGGUGCCUCUUCAUGCUCUUACUGUGAACCAAUUUUUCUGUUACAGCACCGCCAACAUUUACACCAACAUACACACCAUAAUGUAUACAUAGAUACAUAUAUAUAUAUAUAUAAAACAUAUAUACACAGAAAGUACAUAUAUAUAUAUAUAAUGUACAAACACACCAACUAGUACCACUUGGAAAAUAUACAUAUACACAGGUUCAUAUAUAUAUGUUUUGCAUGUCUAUAGACUUAAAACCGAACUCUUACUAUUAUUAUAUAUGCCUUUAAACCUUACAGAUUUGGAAUAUAACGAACUAUAUACACCCGGAAAAAAAAGGAAAACCUUACUAUUCAGAAUUUAAACUUUAUAUACUCACACACAACCACACAUAAACACCAUUUUAAAAAUACACACAUAUAUAUAUAACUCAAGUAUUUACAAUACUAUAAAUAGCCAGAAUUUCUUCAAACUCUGCGUUUAAUAUUAUACACGCUCGUACACUUCUGAUUAAUUAAACAUACAUACAUUAUAUAUAUAUAUAUAUAUAUAUAUAUAUCCGCACAUAACAUGUUUAUUUGUGUUUCUGUGGUGAUUUUAUAAAUAUUAGAUGGUUUAGACUUUCUAAGAAAAUUCUUGUUCAACUCACUACUACCACCAAAAGCAGUAUGUAUGCGAUACAGUGUGUAUAUUAUUUAUAUGUGUAUAUAUUAUAACAAAACAGUUACCAAAUACCAAUUCUAACAGCACCAAUAUUAACAGUAAGUUAUAAUAAUGAAGAUAAUGGUUAUGAUAACAACAGGAACUUUAAUAACUACAUCGAUUUAUUAAAGUGGACUGUUGUUAUACUAAGAGUAUAUAUAUGUAUAUAUAGAAUAUAGUUAUAUAUAUACACACUCAUAUAUUGAUUAUAGUGAUAGUUAUGUUGACGAUGAUGAUGAUGACGUUGAUGUUGAUGAUGAUAGUAAUGAUGAUGAUGAUGACGCUAGUGAUGAUGAAGGCUGCUACCACGUCAAUGACCUGAUAAAUCCACUUCGUUUCUGUUUGUCAGACACGACAACGCUCUGAAAGCCAAAUGAAUUUGCCACCUUUGCGCUAAGUAGUCUUCUCAUCACUAUUUCUGUAAGUACAAAUGGAUGAAGAUA
This is a long non-coding RNA of Octopus sinensis (East Asian common octopus), 1238 nucleotides long. RefSeq lists it as uncharacterized. The record is from RefSeq and is a predicted model, not a curated record. The transcript has 3 exons. Lineage: Eukaryota; Metazoa; Mollusca; Cephalopoda; Octopoda; Octopodidae.